This 253-nucleotide ribosomal RNA is filed under the name uncultured bacterium. RNAcentral's name for it is "partial 16S ribosomal RNA". It matches the Rfam family "Bacterial small subunit ribosomal RNA", at positions 524 to 776 of the family's 1533-position model. The record is from RNAcentral.
UACGGAGGGUGCAAGCGUUAUCCGGAUUCACUGGGUUUAAAGGGUGCGUAGGCGGGCAGGUAAGUCCGUGGUGAAAUCUCUGAGCUUAACUCAGAAACUGCCAUGGAUACUAUUUGUCUUGAAUAUUGUGGAGGUAAGCGGAAUAUGUCAUGUAGCGGUGAAAUGCUUAGAUAUGACAUAGGACACCAAUUGCGAAGGCAGCUUACUACACAGUUAUUGACGCUGAGGCACGAAAGCGUGGGGAUCAAACAGG